AAAGUUUUAAGUUAAAUAAACUAUUAACCUUCAAAGUUAAAUAUAUAUAAUAAACUAUAUAAGCUUUA
RNAcentral lists this transfer RNA (68 nucleotides) under Aeschyntelus notatus. RNAcentral's name for it is "tRNA-Trp". RNAcentral also lists the same sequence under 1 other name. The record is from RNAcentral. Lineage: Eukaryota; Metazoa; Arthropoda; Insecta; Hemiptera; Rhopalidae.